GGUAACACGUAUCCAACCUGCCGUCUACUCUUGGCCAGCCUUCUGAAAGGAAGAUUAAUCCAGGAUGGCAUCAUGAGUUCACAUGUUCACAUGAUUAAAGGUAUUCCGGUAGACGAUGGGGAUGCGUUCCAUUAGAUAGUAGGCGGGGUAACGGCCCACCUAGUCUUCGAUGGAUAGGGGUUCUGAGAGGAAGGUCCCCCACAUUGGAACUGAGACACGGUCCAA
This 225-nucleotide ribosomal RNA is filed under the name uncultured bacterium. Its description in RNAcentral is "partial 16S ribosomal RNA". It matches the Rfam family "Bacterial small subunit ribosomal RNA", at positions 109 to 334 of the family's 1533-position model. The record is from RNAcentral.